UACGAAGGGGGCUAGCGUUGCUCGGAAUCACUGGGCGUAAAGCGCACGUAGGCGGGUCGUUAAGUCAGGGGUGAAAUCCCGGAGCUCAACUCCGGAACUGCCUUUGAUACUGGCGACCUUCGAGUCCGGGAGAGGUGAGUGGAACUGCGAGUGUAGAGGUGAAAUUCGUAGAUAUUCGCAAGAACACCAGUGGCGAAGGCGGCUCACUGGCCCGGUACUGACGCUGAGGUGCGAAAGCGUGGGGAGCAAACAGG
RNAcentral lists this ribosomal RNA (254 nucleotides) under bacterium. RNAcentral's name for it is "partial 16S ribosomal RNA". It matches the Rfam family "Bacterial small subunit ribosomal RNA", at positions 524 to 776 of the family's 1533-position model. The record is from RNAcentral. RNAcentral also lists the same sequence under 1 other name.